CGAUUGGAUCUAGGCGCGUUCCCUUCGCUCGCAGUCAAAUCCAUCCACUACCUCAGUAGAGACUUGUCCCUGUUUUCUUUUCGUUGCGGGAGAAUAGAAUUUUUUGUUUUUUUUUUCUUUUUUUUUUUUUUUUUUUGUUUUUCCAAAGAAAAGAUGAAGAAAGAAGAUGAAACGAAAAGAUGGCGAACGCACGACAGAACACUCGUCUUCCGUAUCAGCAAGCGGCUCUCCUCGGUAUCGACAAUAAUAAACGGCGAGCGUGUCGGCGCUCGUAAAUGCCGAAUCGUGCGAGUGCACUCGUCUCCGCGUGGCUUUACGGUGAUUAUAAAGUCGGAUUAACGACGCCGUAAACGCGGCUAAACCUUUCGCGAAUAGUUCGCCGGUCGGGAACGUUUCGUUCGAGUUCUUAGGGGGGAAUGCAAAUAAACCGUCUCUGAAAUUCUCUUGCCUACCGGAAUAAAGGGAAUCUCCUCCGCAAAGUCUCUUUCGGCUUUCGGAUAUCCUGGCUAUAGAGAUCUUGGUGGCUCGAGCGAGCAGUGCUAAAGUCGAGAACGUCGUCGAACCGUGUCUCUUUUCAAAAAAGACUCGCGAAUAAUUAUAAUUGUACAUGGUCCUGCUCAAUACCGAUCUGGAAUCUUCGUUCCAUUCGUUUCUUCUUCUUCUUCUCAAUUUAAUCGCAUUGUGACAUACAAGAUUGGCGAACGUUGUUCUGUCGUGCGUUAUUAAUUUUUGAUCAUUGAUCACUGAUGAUUGAAGUUUGUAUGUAACGAUAGAGGAAUCAGUUUUUUCUUUUUCUUUUCCUCUCGAAAAAUUAAAAAUUUUUCGAGCAAGGGAGCGAUCUACCAUCUCAGAUCCACUCUGAAAAAUUGACACGAUUACACGAUGCAUUGUUGUAAAUGUAAUAACAAACUCAGGAAAUCUGAAGCAACCAGGCCGUGAUACUAUUACUUAUAGAAAAUACUACUACUGCUACUGCUACUACUACUACUACUACUACUACUAUUACUACUACUACUACUACUACUACUACUAUUACUAUUACUACUACUACUAUUACUACUACUACUACUACUACUACUACUACUACUACUACUACUACUACUACUAUUAUUACUACAGGUGUGAUUCUUGCGUUAAACGGACGCUCGGAUGAUUCACGAGCCAGCGUCUAUUCUGUUUUGUUUCGUUUGUUUAUUUGUUUCUUGUUUGUUACGAGAUUUUACUCUGGCAAGUGGCAAGGUGUGUGCACACACCGCGUGUCUGCGAAUCUGCAGCGUGUGCCCCGUGAAAUCGAUUGGAGCCGUUCCGUUCGCGAAAAAGAAAGGCCGUAAACGAACUAUAUAUAUAUAUAUAUAUAUACACACACACCACACGAUUAAUCAUAUUAUAUAAUAAUUAUAUUAUUAUCCAAAUUGAUGCAUCUUCGAUUACAAAUUAAUCGCACGUUGUCGCGUUGACGAAUAUCCACGGCUCGAAUUUGUUUCGCGAGCCAUGAUUAUGCGAUUAUUAGACAGGCAAAGGGAUAUUAAAAAAGGAAAAAGAAAAAAAAAAGGGGAAAAAAGAAAUGAUUGUGAAAAAUCACCACAGCUACCUCCAUAAUUAAUUAAAUAUCAGUCUUCUUCUCGCGCUAUGUUCACGCUCAUGAUUACCUAAAGCAUAUAGUGACGUUACUUUUACGAUGAGAUACGUUCAGGGGGGAGGGGGAGGGGGAGGGGGGGGAGGGAGGGCGAGUAAUUCGUCAUCUCGACGAAACCAUUGCAUCUCCGCAUAGCGAGAUAUAUUAUUAUAAUAUAAUAAUUAUGUAUACACAACGUUUAUUAUACACAUAGUCAGAAGCGCGGGAUGAUGAUAUAGCCUCCACGGAUUAUAUAGGUUUAAGGAUUUGCCUCCUUCCGCGGAACAGUCGAGCCGGCAAUGGAACAAUACAAUAAGAAUAAGAAUAAAGAAAAAAGAAAAAAAAAAAGAGGUGUAGAGAAUUUCGUCGAACGUCGGUCGCGUUUUCGAUGUGGAAAUUAUAUUUUAGAUUACUGCUCAAAAUAAUUCGAAGAUUAAUAGAUUUCUUCUUAGGUGAUAAUAACGAGAUAGAGGAUGAACGCGUUUCAAUUGCGAGGAUUGCGAACACUGCUCAAACUAUUUCGUUUCUGUACGAAUACACACACACACACACACACACACAGACUUAGGUAAAUCGAAUGAAAUAGUCAUAGUAAGUUAUUAUUAUUAUUAUUUUUAUUAAAUUUCUGUCUGUAAAGAUGGCGAUAUUCGAAUAUCUUCGAAAUUGUGGCGUGUAGUAAGAAAGUUGAGUCAUAGACCAAAGUGUUAUCCACCAUGUUGCUUUUUCGUUGCUGCUUACAACGAUCGGGAUAGAUCUAUUCACAGAAUGCAAUAUUUUUUUUUUUUUCUCUCUCUUUACCGGAAAAAUAUCUCUACAAUGUCGAGGAUGUUUGAAGUUGUUAGCACUCGAAACACAAAUAUAUAGAACACACAAAGAGAUAGAAUUCUUCUCUGAUUACUUUGAGCGGCGUGGUAAAAGAUGGAAAAGAUAGAAAAAAAAAAAAAAAAAAACGAAACUUGUAUCUGGUCGGAGAUUACAAUGGAGCUACCUCAGUUUUACAGAUAUAUAAUGUAAUGUUGACAUAGAACGCGCACUCGAGCCGCAUUUUUCUCGCUGAAAAUGGACAAGAAAUACUAUUUCACUGCCAAGCGUGCCAUGCUCGAUUGUUCCGCGUGCGACAGUGCUGAAUUCCAAAAUCACAAUGCAAUACGUUGUACUUACAGUCGUUUUUACGCGUUGACUCGUCGAUAUAUACCGGUUAGUGAUUUUACUGCUGCAUACAGAGAGAGAGAAAGAGAGAGAGAGAGAGAGAGAGAGAGAGAGAGAGAGAGAGAGAGAGAGAGAGAGAGAAGAGAGAGAAAUCGAGGAAAAAAAAUACAUUUUUUUUUCGCGUGAAUGCGUUAAUGCGUGAUACACGAUGUGUUACACCGCGCGCAAGACAGGUGAAAAUGUGGAGAUUUUUUAAAUGCAUGACAGAGAGGGAAGAGUGUUGAAGUGAGAAAGAAUGCGAGAUGACCGUGUAAGAAGAAGAAGAAGAAGAAGAAAAAGAAGAAGAAGAAGAAGAAGAAAAAAUACGUUCGGAUGGCCUCCUAUUAUUAUAUUAUAUGCAUAUAAUUAUAUAUAUUAUUAGAAAGUGAGAAGAAAAGAGGAAAAAUAUAAAAUAUACCUAUCUACGUGAUAUUUUACAGAGAACAUAAUCAGGGACGCGUCGUAACCAUAGGCGUAUAAUUAUUAUAUUAUAUAUUAUAUAAUAGAGUCUCUUUCUAGUGAUAGAAAAAAAGGAAAAAGGAAAAAAAAAACCAUAAACCACUCUUAACUUAUUUUGUAACUCAUCGUCGGAUCUGAGGAAGAGGAACACGGUCGCGUGACGAAACCAAUGAGCGUGCAAUUCUCGACGUACGGCGUGAUCAAAUUUCAACAUAUUUUUCGAAACAAUACAACGAUGAUAGAGAAAAUGAUCGAUCGUGACAGGUUUCCACCGUUUCUUACAAAAUCUCCAUAAAAUUUUAAAUUCGCGAUUCUCACGGAGGGAACUUUUGAUGGAAACGACGUUUAAUCUUUAAGCAUCAUUGUCGUUCAAAAGUUCAUCAUUAUAAUUAAUACUCGAGCCACGAGCCACGUUGAAACGAAAAACUUGGCUUUAAUUUUCAUGGCGUGGCCACGAUCUCGAUCGUUUUUUUCUUUUAUCCAGCGGAUAAAUCUGGAUCCAUUUUCCAUCACGAUUUCCUCCAUGAGACGGAUAACUCUCGUGUUUCUUUUUUUUGUUUUUUUUUUUUUUUCUUUUUUUUUCCUUUUCGUCGUUUAUUAAUUUCGAAUAAUCAUACAUGGCAUACGGGGGCCAGGGUGAAACCACACCGUUUUUGCCUGCGAAACGUAUUAUCGAUUUGCUUGUUAUAUCGUUAUCGCCGCCUUGCUGAACCGGCGCGAUUCUCCCAUUAAUCGUAACGCUAGCCAUCGGCGUAGUUUGCAUAUUGAUCGUACAGAAAGAGAAAUAAGAAGAGAGAGGAAGAAGUGGAAGAGAUUGAAAAAAGUGAGGAAAGAAAAGAAAAGAAGGAAGAACGCGGGCGAACGUUGUCGGAAAGAAAAAUAAAAAAUAAAAAAAAAAUGUUGUAAAAAUUUGCGAGAAUUUCGAGCAUAUCCGUAUAUAAGAGCGAAGAGUUUCGAAGAGUGGUGGGAAGAAAAAGGGAGUAAAAGGAAGAAAAAGAAUAAUGAUAGAGAGAAUGGUUUAUGAGAGAGUGAGAGAAAGAAAGAGAGAGAGAGAGAGAGAGAGCGUGAGAGAAUUACCGAUCAUCAUGGGCCCCGUCAUCGAGACGCAACGCCACCUCGUUCUUUACUUAACGGUUAACUAUCAUUAAGGUGCUUCAAUAUUGUUACGUUACGUUUUUUUUAUUACCGUCAUUUAAUAUUAAUGUUAUUAUUAUUAUUGUCAUUAUCAUUUCAUUAUUAUUAGCUUCGCUAGAUCGUGUUUAUUAGAAAGGAUGAUGUACAUCUGUCUCCUGGCAGGGAAUCGAGGAAAAAAAAAAGAUACGAGGAAAACGAGAUCGCGUUAUUUCGUGGGCAUUGAAAGAAAGGGGGGAAAAAAGGAAAAAAAAAAAGAAGAAAAGAAAAAGAAAAA
Apis florea (little honeybee) is the source of this 4670-nucleotide long non-coding RNA. Lineage: Eukaryota; Metazoa; Arthropoda; Insecta; Hymenoptera; Apidae. The record is from RefSeq and is a predicted model, not a curated record.